Engraulis encrasicolus (European anchovy) is the source of this 699-nucleotide long non-coding RNA. RefSeq lists it as uncharacterized. The record is from RefSeq and is a predicted model, not a curated record. The transcript is spliced from 3 exons. Lineage: Eukaryota; Metazoa; Chordata; Actinopteri; Clupeiformes; Engraulidae.
GGCGCGGUGUGUCAUGUGGGUGAGGAGCACCAAUUGCUAAGGUUUUAGUUUCUUUUAAAAACGCUACACCUGCUUCAACUUAGCGUCGGCUGGUCGGUCAUCAUCUGGCUGUUUGUUCGGUUGUCACUGGGAGAGCCCGCGUCCGUAGGCAUCUGUAUUCCACGGGAUGUGGAAGCCCGCGUGGGGUGGUCUGGUCCUGCGGUGCGUCUUUUGGCCAAAAGCGUAAUCGCUUCUUGGGUCCCAGCUGAGCUGCUGGCGUGGGCAUUGGCUCAACCUCUCCUGGCAUGGUUUACCUAGCCUGUCCGUUUAACCACCGUUGCCCUUGCUGCUGUCUGCGUAGGCGAUGUGCCUCGCCCAUUCGGUAGCCUGUGAUCGUUGUAUGUAGGGCCAACGGCCCUUGACGCGCUGCUGUUUUUGUUCUCCCGACAAGUAUUGUGUAUGAGUGUGCGUGUGGAGACUUGACGCGCGGUGCGCGCUUUGGAACUGUCCGUGGAGUGCGGUUGGAGAGUGUGUUUGGUGACGCGCGUUGAGCGCUGGGACUCUCAGUCGAGUGUGUGUGAAUGCGUGUGUACGUGUGUGUGUUCUAUUUCUUUUGUUUGGUUAAUGUACGUUUGAUUUCUGUUUUGUGUCUUAGUGUAUUGAUUUAUUGGUGUGUUGACCGUGUCGGGCACACCACACCUGUAAUUGGGUCAGCAGGAC